AUUGAACGCUGGCGGCAGGCCUAACACAUGCAAGUCGAGCGAGCGGCGGACGGGUGAGUAAUGUAUGGGGACUGCCCGAUAGAGGGGGAUAACUACUGGAAACGGUGGCUAAUACCGCAUACUAUCGGAUAACCCAGAUGGGAUUAGCUAGUAGGUGGGGUAAAGGCUCACCUAGGCGACGAUCUCUAGCUGGUCUGGUAGGAUGAUCAGCCACCAUGGGAAUGAGACACGGCCCAGACUCCUAAGGAGGCAGCAGGGGGUAAUAUUGCACAAUGGGCGAAAGCCUGAUGCAGCCAUGCCGCGUGUAUGAAGAAGGCAUUAGGGUUGUAAAGUACUUUCAGCGGGGAGGCGUUACCCGCAGAAGAAGCACCGGCUAACUCCGUGCCAGCAGCCGCGGUAAUUC
Molecule: ribosomal RNA, 403 nt
Filed under: uncultured bacterium
Lineage: Bacteria
Description: partial 16S ribosomal RNA
Rfam family: Bacterial small subunit ribosomal RNA
Source: RNAcentral